Molecule: long non-coding RNA, 949 nt
Filed under: Ananas comosus (pineapple)
Lineage: Eukaryota; Viridiplantae; Streptophyta; Magnoliopsida; Poales; Bromeliaceae
Description: long non-coding RNA (ACOM_LNC034624)
Source: RNAcentral
UUAUCCUUAACUUAUUAGGAUAAUUCCCAAUUCACAUCUUAUGUGAAUCGGGUUGAAUUUGUAUGGACAAUUGUGGACAUCAUAUGUGGAUCGGGUUGAAUUUGAAUAGGUCAAUGUGGACACACCAUAUGGCAACAAUCUUCUACUUGGCCACAUUUGUCAAUUCUCUCUCAUACAUUCUACUCUUCAUACGGAUAAUGAAGUGUGUGAUCUGAUAAAAGAAACAUAAUGAAGGAGUGCUAUAUUAAGUCACCACCCAACUAACAUGGCACAUUAGUAGCUUAAUUCAUCUAUGUCCUGGAUGUUUCAAUACACAUCGGAUCAAGCAUCACAAAUUCCUCUCCUGUAAUGACAGGGCUCGACCCCACCGUCGUACUCAUGAUUAUCUCAAAUAAUAUAACCGAGAUAAUCGCCCGGGCAAUGAGUCACAAGACUUACGUGGUGUGUUAUCAAAACAUCUUCCUCAGCUCCUCAUGUUAAUCUAUCUCGGUCCAAACACUUUACUAGACAUGCUCCGCAAGAUCAUAUUUUCUCAUGACCUGAGAUGCAUGCUAAGUUAGUUACAUCGGACCUCCACUUCAUAACGUAGUUCUAAGUCGAGGGCAUAAAAGGGUUAGUGCUCACAUAGUUACAUAGAGGGAAGAACUUAUGUUACUAUACUAACUGGUUGACAAGCACAUACGAUAUGAUAUGUAUGCUAUGGCGGAGCUCCCACUCAAUGGGUCGUGUCACGCUUUAAAACGCCAUACGAAUUUUGGUCUAGGUAUCACUAAUGUAUCAAUCACUACACAACUCAAGUCAUCUCUCUAAUCCGAAUACUUAGGUUCGGCUAUUAUACAGGCUCGAUAUGGAAUUUCAUAGAAGAACUCUCAUAUCCAACUCCUUAGAGUCUCAUCUUAAACUAAUUAAGCCGACUUUUAGGUUAUAUUAACACUUUAUUCGUAAUGUA